GGGUUCUACCGUCGGUCGGGCUAUAAGUCUGUACUGGUGUGUAGAAUUUCUACCUUCUGGAGAACCAUCAUGUUAUUAAUUUAGCGUGGUGGGAUACCAGGACCUUUACCUUGAAAAAAUUAGGGUGUUCAAAGCAGGCUUACGUCUGAAUACAUUAGCAUGGAAUAAUAAAAUAGGACGGUGGUCCUGUUUUGUUGGUUUCUGAAUCACCGUAAUGAUU
Molecule: ribosomal RNA, 220 nt
Filed under: uncultured fungus
Lineage: Eukaryota; Fungi
Description: partial 18S ribosomal RNA
Rfam family: Eukaryotic small subunit ribosomal RNA (bases 38-220)
Source: RNAcentral